This is a long non-coding RNA of Anopheles funestus (African malaria mosquito), 1345 nucleotides long. RefSeq lists it as uncharacterized. The record is from RefSeq and is a predicted model, not a curated record. The transcript is spliced from 3 exons. NCBI's taxonomy places the organism in Eukaryota, Metazoa, Arthropoda, Insecta, Diptera, Culicidae.
UUGGUGCCAUCUAUCGACCACAGGUUAAAGUUUGGCGAUCCGUUGGAUACCAACCGAGUUAUAGGCAAAACUUGGUGCAAAAAUGAGGAAAAUUUUACGUUUUCUCAAACAGGGUAUGGAACUUGGUUCCUCGAAUAACUUCUGGCACAGACAUCUGAGGGCAUGGCUGUCCAAGAAGAAAAUGUAGCCAUUGGUGCCAUCUAUCGACCACAGGUUAAAGUUUGGCGAUCCGUUGGAUACCGACCGAAUUAUAGGCAAAAUUUGGUGCAAAAAUGAGGAAAAUUUUCGUUUUUUUUUUAAUUUUUUGAUUUUUUUAUUAUUUUUCACUCUUUUUUUUAUUUCAAGCAUUAUUAGAGUGAAAAGAAACUCAUUGCAACCCAUUGGCAUUAAAAUAAAACAAUUUAAUUUUUUUGCAAAAUUUCCCAAAAAAAUCGUAAGGGGUAAGCCUUAUGAAAUUUUCGAGUGGAAAAUUUUUUUGAAAUUUUUUUCUAAUUUUUUAUUCUUUUUUUAAUUUAAAGCACUAUUUAAGUGAAAAGAAACUUAUUGCAACAAAUUCCCAUCAAAAUAUAUCACAUUUAAAAUUUUUGCUACAUUGCUCAAAAAUGAGGAAAAUUUUACAUUUUCUCAAACAGGGUAAGGAACUUGGUUCCUCGAAUAACUUCUGGCACAGACAUCUAAGGGCAUGGCUGUCCAAGAAGAAAAUGUAGCCAUUGGUGCCAUCUAUCGACCACAGGUUAAAGUUUGGCGAUCCGUUGGAUACCGACCGAGUUAUAGGCAAAACUUGGUGCAAAAAUGAGGAAAAUUUUACGUUUUCUCAAACAGGGUAUGGAACUUGGUUCCUCGAAUAACUUCUGGCACAGACAUCUGAGGGCAUGGCCGUCCAAGAAGAAAAUGUAGCCAUUGGUGCCAUCUAUCGACCACAGGUUAAAGAUUGGCGAUCCGUUUGAUACCGACCGAGUUAUAGGCAAAACUUGGUGCAAAAAUGAAGAAAAUUUUACAUUUUCUCAAACAGGGUAAGGAACUUGGUUCCUCGAAUAACUUCUGGCACAGACAUCUAAGGGCAUUGCUGUCCAAGAAGAAAAUGUAGCCAUUGGUGCCAUCUAUCGACCACAGGUUAAAGAUUGGCGAUCCGUUGGAUACCGACCGAGUUAUAGGCAAAAUUUGGUGCAAAAAUGAGGAAAAUUUUCAUUUUUUUUUAAUUUUUUGAUUUUUUUUAUUAUUUUUCACUCUUUUUUUUAUUUCAAGCAUUAUUAGAGUGAAAAGAAACUCAUUGCAACCCAUUGGCAUUAAAAUAAAACAAUUUAAUUUUUUUUGUAAAAUUUCCCAAAAAAUCGUAAGGGGUAAG